RNAcentral lists this ribosomal RNA (782 nucleotides) under Ditrichocorycaeus anglicus. RNAcentral's name for it is "SSU rRNA". It matches the Rfam family "Eukaryotic small subunit ribosomal RNA", at positions 51 to 838 of the family's 1831-position model. The record is from RNAcentral. Lineage: Eukaryota; Metazoa; Arthropoda; Copepoda; Poecilostomatoida; Corycaeidae.
AUGCAUGUCUAAGUACAAGCCUGAAUAAGGUGAAACCGCGAAUGGCUCAUUAAAUCACACCUAAUGUACCGGAUAGUUCCAAUUACUUGGAUAACUGCGGUAAUUCUGGAGCUAAUACAUGCUUAAAGGCCUCGACUCAAGGAGGGGCGCAUUUAUUAGAUCAAAACCAAACCGCUUGCGGUUUUAUUGGUGAAUCUGAAUAACUCUAUGCUGAUCGUAUGGCUCAACGCCGACGACGUAUCCGUCCAAGGUGUGCCCUAUCAACUGUCGACUGUGGCAUAGACGCCCACAGUGGUUUUGACGGGUAACGGGGAAUUAGGGUUCGAUUCCGGAGAGGGAGCCUGAGAAACGGCUACCACUUCUAAGGAAGGCAGCAGGCACGCAAAUUACCCAAUGGUCGAAGACCGAGGUAGUGACGAAAAAUAACGAUACCGGUCUCUUCCGAGGCCCGGUAAUCGGAAUGAGUACACUUUAAAUCCUUUAACGAGGAACAAUUGGAGGGCAAGUCUGGUGCCAGCAGCCGCGGUAAUUCCAGCUCCAAUAGCGUAUAUUAAAGUUGUUGCGGUUAAAAAGCUCGUAGUUGGAUCUCGGCGAACAGGGGGCGGUUCGUUAUUUGACGGUACUGCCCCAUUUGUUCGUAUUUUUGCAAGAGGGUUGGGGGUCCCCUUCAUUGGGUGUCUCCGGUCGCUUGCAGGUUUACUUUGAAAAAAUUAGAGUGCUCAAAGCAGGCUUACACGCUUGAAUAUUCGUGCAUGGAAUAAUAGAAUAGGAAGUCGUUUCUA